This 391-nucleotide unclassified non-coding RNA is filed under the name soil metagenome. RNAcentral describes it as "partial contains 5.8S ribosomal RNA, internal transcribed spacer 2, and large subunit ribosomal RNA". The stretch from base 1 to 122 matches the Rfam family "5.8S ribosomal RNA", at positions 35 to 154 of the family's 154-position model. The record is from RNAcentral.
GAUGAAGAACGUAGCAAAAUGCGAUACUUGGUGUGAAUUGCAGAAUCCCGUGAACCAUCGAGUCUUUGAACGCAAGUUGCGCCCGAAGCCAUUAGGCCGAGGGCACGCCUGCCUGGGCGUCACACGUCGUUGCCCCCCCAUCUACUCCUUCGGGAUUGCGGGGGGCGGAUGAUGGCCUCCCGUGCGCCACGCCGCGCGGUUGGCAUAAAUGCCAAGUCCUCGGCGACGCACGCCACGACAAUCGGUGGUUGCGAAACCUCGGUUGCCCGUCGUGUGCGGUCGUCGCGCAUCGAGGGCUCGAAAAAAUUGCCGGGUUCCGGCUCGGCUUUCAACGCGACCCCAGGUCAGGCGGGGUUACCCGCUGAAUUUAAGCAUAUCAAUAAGCGGAGGA